CCUACGGGUGGCAGCAGUGAGGAAUAUUGGUCAAUGGACGAGAGUCUGAACCAGCCAAGUAGCGUGAAGGAUGACUGCCCUAUGGGUUGUAAACUUCUUUUAUAAAGGAAUAAAACGAGGCACGUGUGCCUUUUUGUAUGUACUUUAUGAAUAAGGAUCGGCUAACUCCGUGCCAGCAGCCGCGGUAAUACGGAGGAUCCGAGCGUUAUCCGGAUUUAUUGGGUUUAAAGGGAGCGUAGAUGGGUUGUUAAGUCAGUUGUGAAAGUUUGCGGCUCAACCGUAAAAUUGCAAUUGAUACUGGCAGUCUUGAGUACAGUAGAGGUAGGCGGAAUUCGUGGUGUAGCGGUGAAAUGCUUAGAUAUCACGAAGAACCCCGAUUGCGAAGGCAGCUUACUAAACUGUGACUGACAUUGAGGCUCGAAAGUGUGGGUAUCAAACAGGAUUAGAUACCCUGGUAGUC
This 460-nucleotide ribosomal RNA is filed under the name uncultured bacterium. RNAcentral describes it as "partial 16S ribosomal RNA". It matches the Rfam family "Bacterial small subunit ribosomal RNA", at positions 338 to 795 of the family's 1533-position model. The record is from RNAcentral.